RNAcentral lists this ribosomal RNA (294 nucleotides) under uncultured bacterium. RNAcentral describes it as "partial 16S ribosomal RNA". It matches the Rfam family "Bacterial small subunit ribosomal RNA", at positions 331 to 624 of the family's 1533-position model. The record is from RNAcentral.
CCGGACCUACGGGGGGCAGCAGUGAGGAAUAUUGGUCAAUGGUCGGGAGACUGAACCAGCCAAGCCGCGUGAGGGAGGAAGGUACAGAGUAUCGUAAACCUCUUUUGUCAGGGAACAAAGGCGGGGACGGGUCCCCGGAUGAGUGUACCUGAAGAAAAAGCAUCGGCUAACUCCGUGCCAGCAGACGCGGUAAUACGGAGGAGGCGAGCGUUAUCCGGAUUUAUCGGGGUUAAAGGGUGCGCAGGCGGUCUGUUAAGUCAGCGGUCAAAGCCCGGGGCUGAAACCCGGCCCGCC